This 141-nucleotide ribosomal RNA is filed under the name Cordyceps fumosorosea. RNAcentral describes it as "partial 28S ribosomal RNA". The record is from RNAcentral. Lineage: Eukaryota; Fungi; Ascomycota; Sordariomycetes; Hypocreales; Cordycipitaceae.
CGUAUACCGCCGGCCCCGAAAUGAAGUGGCGGCCCGUCCGCGGCGACCUCUGCGUAGUAAUCCAACUCGCACCGGAACCCCGACGUGGCCACGCCGUAAAACCCCCGACUUCUGAACGUUGACCUCGGAUCAGGUAGGAAU